AGAAAAAGGAAAAAGGCAGAUAUACAUGCCACAGUACAGUGCUGAGACAACAUAAAUCACAAGCAACCAAGUACAAAGUGAAUUAUACAGAAUCUGGUUUUCUUCUGUUUGGAUUUGAUACUGAGCUAUACUGGAUUCACUGACAAGAAGAGUUUGAAUUAGCAGCAUGCUGAGAAUGGACACAGUGUUUGAAGAGACUGAUAAAGAAAGUACAGGAGGAGUUUUAUUUUUGGAAGAAGAAAUGGUCCUUGGGCACAGACCCCAUAUGAGUUUUCCUUUCAGCGUUCUCUGCUCAGCUGUUCUCUGCUGUGGUGAGGCGCCUAUGCUUUGUAUAUGUCUGAAAUUAAUUGAAAAGCUAGUGACAGAUUCUGAUGUCAUUUGCCAUGAGCUUUAUUGUUGUGCAGGUAAUUUUGGAUCAAAUCACCCUAACGUUUUUCAACAAAGACUUUAGAAGAAAUAAAGCUGCAUUACUUUUUCUUGGCGCAUUCUUCCUUUAGGACCUAUAGUGAGGACCCACCCAACAGUGGCCUCAGCUUGGGGACAUCUGGAGUCGCAUCCACCAUGAGGACGAAGCCUCCUUCUCUUCUGGACCUGCCCAGGAGUGGCCGUUGCUACAAGACCUCUGUUGCUACGUCCAGGGUGAGAAUAAAGACUUCUCCUCAGGACUCUCCCAGGAGAAGACAUGGCAUUGAGACAUCUGGUGGCCAGGGAGACAUGAGACAUCAAUCAAACGCAUGAAGAUGUACAUUGGUUUGGUCCAGAAAGGACGCACAACUUGAAAAUAGCCAUGGUGCAGGUCUGGGCUUUCAAGUUACAGGAAACUUUGGAAAAUAGUGGAAAGUGACCAAUUCAAGUCUAUUUCAUGGGAUGAGAAUGGAACUUGCAUAGUGAUUAAUGAAGAACUCUUCAAGAAAGAAAUUUUGGAAACAAAGGCUCCUUACAGAAUAUUUCAAACUGAUGCUAUCAAAAGUUUUGUUCGACAGCUCAACCUUUAUGGAUUUAGUAAAAUUCAACAGAAUUUUCAAAGAUCUGCCUUUCUAGCCACCUUUCUGUCAGAAGAGAAAGAAUCGUCUGUCUUAAGCAAGGUAUUUGACAUAUUUGAGUUACCACUUUAUGUAAAGUAUAUAUGUAAUUUUACUUUGUACAUCAGUAAAUAUGUUAAUACAUGCAGUAAGACCAGCUUUUGAAAAUUAUAUAAAAUAUUAAGGUAGAAAUUUUGUUUUGAAAUUAUUGUGUUCAGCUUGAGCGUUAACCUUUUAGUGUUUUAAGAAAUUUUGCUAACAACUUUGAAUCUUACCAGUGAAUUCCAAAUAAAUGUACCAAAGCCACUUAAUGAAAUAUUACUAUUAAUAUAUAACAUGUUUUCACUUGAGGGCUUAACAACUUGAGUGGUUUUUCACAAUAAGCACAUUCUUAAAAAUAGUAAACGAUGUUUAUGAGUUAUUUGAUGACAUUAAAUUUGUGUGAUGAAAGAGAAAUCUGA
This is a long non-coding RNA of Homo sapiens (human), 1483 nucleotides long. NCBI's taxonomy places the organism in Eukaryota, Metazoa, Chordata, Mammalia, Primates, Hominidae. The record is from Ensembl.